AACAGCGUAAUUUUAUUUGAGAGUUCUAAUCGAAAAUAAAGUUUGCGACCUCGAUGUUG
This 59-nucleotide transfer RNA is filed under the name Podagrica fuscipes. RNAcentral's name for it is "tRNA-Ser". Lineage: Eukaryota; Metazoa; Arthropoda; Insecta; Coleoptera; Chrysomelidae. The record is from RNAcentral.